Molecule: long non-coding RNA, 2789 nt
Organism: Nerophis ophidion (straightnose pipefish)
Lineage: Eukaryota; Metazoa; Chordata; Actinopteri; Syngnathiformes; Syngnathidae
Exons: 2
Source: RefSeq, a predicted model, not a curated record
UAAUAAAUAUGGCAGUGCCAUGUUGGCAUAAACAACUUUAACACUGUUACAAAUAUGCGCCACACUGUGAACCCACACCAAACAAGAAUGACGAACACAUUUCGGGAGAACAUCUGCACCGUAACACAACAGGACAAAUACCUAGGAUCCCUUGCAGCACUAACUCUUCCGGGACGCAACAAUACACCCCCCCCCCCCCCCCUGAAUGGUUGAUUUAUUCAUUAUUUUAUUUUAAAAUGUAUUAGCCUGUGAAAAAAGUUCAUGUUGAUAUUUACCUCAGAAGGCUGCAAAUAGAAAAGAGGCAUUUAAUAUAUAAUUAAAUUGUAUUUUAAAUGCCAUUGCUAUUUUUGAAUUAUUAUUAUUUGGUACUGGAUUUUGCAUGUCACUAUAAAGUUAUAUAGGCCUUGUAUGUUCAAUAUUCAAUGCAAAACUGGUUUGGGUCCCUAUUAAAAGGUUCAUUUGUUCAACCUUGGCCCGCAGCUUUGUUCAGUUUUAGAGUUUGUCCCACUCUGUAUUUGAGUUUGACACCCCUGGUGUAGAGUGCGAGUGCUGGGCUGGUAAAUAGUGGUAGUGGGAUCUGUUCCUGGCUCAGGAGGCUAUGGUUUAUUUAUUUUCUUAAUUUUGACAUUAGGCCAGCCAGCGACAGGAACCCCGUGCUGCCCGGAAGAGCCAGCAGCAGGCCGCAGAGGACAGCCAGCGAGAGACCACACCCCACACGGGCAAAAAGCCGGGACGCCCCGCCCGAGGGGCCCAGAGACUCCCCUCACCUGGACGGGAAGAUCGCUCCUACCCCACCAGCAACCGGGCCCCCACGAGCCCAGCCCCUGAAGAGCACAUGGGGCCCGCCCCAGGCCACCCCAUGCAAGUCGGCCGCCCAGCACGGGACCACAGGAACCCAACGAUGGAGAUGGAACAACCCGCAACCGCCCUGUCGAUUCCUUAAAUUUAAAUAAUAAUCAUAAAACAUAAAAAUAUAUAUAAAAAAAAAUAAUUAAAAGAAGAUCACAGACGUGAUGACACACAAGGUCACUACCCCAGCAGCACCUCGGAAUACCUUAUGGUGCACCAAGCUACCACAAUAGACGCGGGGACUAGACCCUGCAGGCCCCAACCAAGACGGGCACCCGGAAGGGAUGGACUGUGGGACCCAGGAGCUCCAGACACGCAUUGUUGGAAUUGGGGGGUUAAAACACCAAAAUGAUUCCCGGGGGCGCGGCCACUAAUGCUGCUCACUACUCCCCUCACCUCCCAGGGGGUAAACAAGGGGGAUGGGUCAAAUGCAGAGAUGAAUUUCACUACACCUACUCUAUUUUUGUAAAAAGAAACUGUUAAAUGAAUUCCCACGUUCAUUAAAUUAAUGGAAAUGUGUUCAAAACCGGAACGUAAGUGCUUCAAAAUAAAAGCUGGUGGAAUCUCUCUGUGAGCUGACUCGCUGCAGUCGGUUACAUUUCGAAACGGUCUGCAUUACUUGAUUUACAAUAAAUUGAUUGUGGGGGUCUACUAAUCAAUUUUAAAAUCGUCCCUGUUCUAAUUGCCAAGCAUCUUAAUCGAUUAUUCCCCUUACCACUAAUAUUUAUAUAUAUUUUUUUUAAUUGGUCAGCUUGAAGCGUCCCUCUGUCUCUGACUCACUCGAGGUCAUGUGACACGAGUGUCUGUAAGGAUUUUACUUCCUGGUUUCGGCGACGAAUGGACGUCUGUCAGGAGUACAAAGUUCAUUGUACACGACCACACUUCAGUCCCAUAAGCUAAAAUUGAUACUCGCUGACAUGGCAAGUCUACCUGCGAAGGCGCGGGCCUCGUCCGUGGGCACGGCCCUCAGGUGGCGCAGGUCGCUCUUGUUGCCCACCAGCAUGAUGACGAUGUUGUUGUCAGCGUGGUCCCUCAGCUCCUUCAGCCAGCGCUCCACGUUCUCAUACGUCAGGUGCUUGGCGAUGUCGUAGACCAGGAGCGCCCCCACUGCGCCCCUGUAGUAACUGAAGUCCACAAAGGGAUCGCAAUUAGGUCAUCGUCAUAGAAAAUAUGCGGCUUGGACAGAAGAGGUCAUAUUCAGCGUUUUAUAUGUAUUUUAUAUGGAUAUAUACAUAUAUCCAUAUUUAGAAGUUAUUUCUUUUCUUUAGUCAUAUUUGAAAUAGCUAGUGUUCCAUCUUGUAGUCUUUUUAUCUUUUCUAAUUAUCUCCUCACCGAUGGUACACUGUGGACUGCCUUGAGCUUGGAAUGCAGGAGUAGCAAUACUCCUUUUUCCUAUCUCAAGGUAGUCUACAGCUGAGGAAAACUAUGGAUGUGUGGAUUCACUCUGAAGACAAGACUUCCGCAGUGUUUUCAGAUCAACUGGGCGAUGCGAAUUGAAUGUGUUGUUUUUUAGGUUGGUCUCUCCAAAGCUUUGGAAUAAAUUGCAAAAUACCUAUUCUGUUCUGGGUGUUCAUUUAAAAUCAGCUUAUGUGUCAUCAAAAGAACUUGGGAUUUGACCAGCAACUUAAAUUCCCUCGGAGGAACAUUUGGUCCAAACGCAACAUAACCAAACUGUAGCAACAUUGUUAUUGUAAGAGGAACUAUUUCUCUAGCGUGCUAACACAGCGACAUGCUAUGGUAUUAGCCAUAAAAGCUAACUAUAGAAACUGAUAAGUUAGCUUCUAUGUCAGCACGAACACUGCGAUAGGACACCAAUUUGUACUGAGUGAAAAACAUGAACAAUGAUAUUACCGUAUCUGUAAAGUAUUAUUUCAUGUUUUGUUUGUACACUAAACAGUGUAUGUACUGUCAUGAUCAAUAUUAAAGUGACUCCCUCCAUG